Molecule: ribosomal RNA, 407 nt
Filed under: uncultured bacterium
Lineage: Bacteria
Description: partial 16S ribosomal RNA
Rfam family: Bacterial small subunit ribosomal RNA
Source: RNAcentral
AUUGAACGCUGGCGGCGUGCUUAACACCUGCAAGUCGAACGGAGUGGCGAACGGGCGAGUAACACGUGGGUGACCUGCCCUGCACUUCGGGAUAAGCCUGGGAAACUGGGUCUACUACCGGAUAGGGUGGGAUGGGCCCGCGGCCUAUCAGCUUGUUGGUGGGGUAAUGGCCUACCAAGGCGGGGACGGGUAGCCGGCCUGAGAGGGUGGACGGCCACAUUGGGACUGAGGCACGGCCCAGGCGCCUACGGGAGGCAGCAGGGGGGAAUAUUGCACAAUGGGCGGAAGCCGGAUGCAGCGACGCCGGGGGGGGGAUGACGGCCUUCGGGUUGGAAACUCCUUUCACCAUCGACGCGGUAGAUGGAGAAGAAGCUCCGGCUAACUACGUGCCAGCAGCCGCGGUAUAC